This is a non-coding RNA of Ictidomys tridecemlineatus (thirteen-lined ground squirrel), 295 nucleotides long. The record is from RefSeq and is a predicted model, not a curated record. Lineage: Eukaryota; Metazoa; Chordata; Mammalia; Rodentia; Sciuridae.
AGCAUUCUAUCAUAUCCACAGGUCACAAUUGGUUAUUGUCAUCUCCCUACUGGUGGACAUUAGGUGACCUCUGGUUUGGGGGCUGUAACAGAUGCAGCUACAAUGAAACAAACUGUUAUUCAAUGAUUGCUCAAGACCAUUUUCUGCAAAGGGCUUUGAGUCUGGUGCUUGCAGGUCGCUGUUGCUGAGUCCCUACUUUCUCUAAAUGCUGUGUGACCAUCUGGAAAUGGAAGGUCUCACAGAGACAAGAGGAAAUGACUAAGGAGAGAUCUUCAUUAAACACCAAAAUAGUGUC